This 426-nucleotide long non-coding RNA is filed under the name Malus domestica (apple). Its description in RNAcentral is "long non-coding RNA (MDOM_LNC013527)". Lineage: Eukaryota; Viridiplantae; Streptophyta; Magnoliopsida; Rosales; Rosaceae. The record is from RNAcentral.
AGUCCAUGGUCAUCCAAGAGCCUAAGAUAACUAUAAAGUCCAAUUUCAAAGGAAUGCAAAACCUUAGUAGUAGUAGUUACUUCCAAUAUUUGAAAAAUUAGUUUUUUGAUAUUGAUUUGUUUUUCUUAAAACAAAUAGUGGGAGUAUCAUACGCUACUAAACUAUAAUGAAAAUAAUUAGUAGUUAUAUAUAUCUCCAAUAUUUUGAAAAAUGUUUUGAUAUUGAUUUGUUUUAUGAAAACGAAUAGUGGGGAUAUCAUAUGCUACUAAUUUCAUUAACUUUGGAUUAGUAGUUGUAAUAGGACAUUAUUUAUUUGAAUAUGAUUAAAUAAAUAAAAAUGAUGAGACCUUAAAAUCCCUCAACCUACAUACAAUAUUAAGUUGAAAGCGUAAGAGUGCUUUGAACACUUUUUCGUGGCCUUCCACC